Long non-coding RNA from Megalobrama amblycephala (Wuchang bream), 774 nucleotides. RefSeq lists it as uncharacterized. Lineage: Eukaryota; Metazoa; Chordata; Actinopteri; Cypriniformes; Xenocyprididae. The transcript has 2 exons. The record is from RefSeq and is a predicted model, not a curated record.
AUUUCAACUAGUAAGAACUCAAUUCUUGAUAUCUGUAAUGGUUUUGUCGCCCUUUUAACAUUUAAAAACAUGAAUUGUUGAUAUCAACAAUUCAAUUCUUGAUAUCAGAAAUGCAAUUUUCACUAGUGGAAAUGCUGAUUGUUGAUAUCAGGAAUUACGCUUCUUGAUAUCAACAAUGACGUCAUCACUCGCAGAAAUACAUUUAUGAUAUCAAAAAUGAAAUCACAACUAGUAAAAAACAUACUUCUUGUUAUCUGUAACUUAAUUCUUACAUGUUAAAAUUUAAUUUUCACUAGUAAAAAUUCUUAUUGCAGAUAUCAUGAAUUCCGUUUAGGAUAUGUGCAUAAUAAUGAAUUCCUUUUCGGAUAUGUGCAUAGUAAUGACGACUGCUUGUUAAUAUUCAAAUACGAGCGUGAUGUUUUUACGUGCUCAGAACUGUGGUGAACUGUGGACAAACUGGCAAUGGCAAAGGAGGUUUUUAGGCAAAUUAAACGCUUCACAAUUCAGUUUUCAGACCAUACAAUGCAAAUGCAAAACCAAAAAAUUGAAACCAGGCGUUCAUUUUCCUUGUUUUACGGUUAGGCCUACAUCAUCGGUAGCAGCCGCGCCGUAGAGUUACAGCAGAACAGACCGUUUGUGAUGCACUUUUAAAAGCACAAAGGGGAUUCAGAUCCUGAAGACUCCAUGCAAUCUCGCUGUACCCUCACCGUCUCUGCUCCUUGGAUUUUGCAAGCUUUUCCUUGCUCCUUAUUUUUAAUAAACCUUCAAUAAACA